This 439-nucleotide ribosomal RNA is filed under the name uncultured bacterium. RNAcentral describes it as "partial 16S ribosomal RNA". It matches the Rfam family "Bacterial small subunit ribosomal RNA", at positions 339 to 795 of the family's 1533-position model. The record is from RNAcentral.
CUACGGGUGGCAGCAGUGGGGAAUCUUAGACAAUGGGCGCAAGCCUGAUCUAGCCAUGCCGCGUGAGUGACGAAGGCCUUAGGGUCGUAAAGCUCUUUCGCUGGGGAAGAUAAUGACGGUACCCAGUAAAGAAACCCCGGCUAACUCCGUGCCAGCAGCCGCGGUAAUACGGAGGGGGUUAGCGUUGUUCGGAAUUACUGGGCGUAAAGCGCGCGUAGGCGGAUCAGAAAGUUGGGGGUGAAAUCCCGGGGCUCAACCCCGGAACUGCCUUCAAAACUCCUGGUCUUGAGUUCGAGAGAGGUGAGUGGAAUUCCGAGUGUAGAGGUGAAAUUCGUAGAUAUUCGGAGGAAUACCAGUGGCGAAGGCGGCUCACUGGCUCGAUACUGACGCUGAGGUGCGAAAGCGUGGGGAGCAAACAGGAUUAGAUACCCGGGUAGUC